Molecule: transfer RNA, 74 nt
Filed under: Halalkalibacter akibai JCM 9157
Lineage: Bacteria; Bacillati; Bacillota; Bacilli; Caryophanales; Bacillaceae
Description: Bacillus akibai JCM 9157 tRNA
Rfam family: tRNA
About the family: Transfer RNA (tRNA) molecules are approximately 80 nucleotides in length. Their secondary structure includes four short double-helical elements and three loops (D, anti-codon, and T loops).
Source: Rfam by way of RNAcentral
GGACCUUUAGCUCAGUUGGUCAGAGCGGUCGGCUCAUAACCGAUUGGUCGUAGGUUCGAGUCCUACAGGGUCCA